CACAACAACAACUAGAGAAAACGUUAGAGAGAGAACUAAAGAAACUACUUCUCUGAAAUAGCCCCUCUCCUGUGUGAGUGAGAGAUGUGUUAAUAAUGGCUUUUCCUUGACCUCGUUCUGUAUGGGGAUUUCAUUCUCCUUCUACUUGGGUUCGUCGAGUCCGGUUUGCCUCUCGGUGGAGUUUCAGACCUUGCUUUGGUUCCGGUCUUGUUGUGUGACUGCUUUCUUCUAGAUUCUUGGGGUUGGCUUCCUAUGCGAACCAGGGGAUUCCAUUUUCAGGUCUUCUCUUUGCGAUGAGGUUGCCAAUAUUGGAUUCUAUCGAAUUCGUUUCCCCAAGUCAUCACUGUCAGGGUCGCCGUUUGUUUUCUCCAUCCGAAACUGAUUUGCACGAGCUUGACAGUCUGAACGAGGAAUCCUACAAAGAUACUAUAUUAAUUAUGCAACUCCUUAGGGACAAUCUGACCUUGUGGACCUCUGACAUUCCAGAAGAAGGAGUGAACUGAUAUUGUGUGCACCCGCUCUAGCUCUAGACAAACACAAACAUGUUUCAAGAACUGAAUGUACGGUGAAUAAAUAGCAAAAUGCAGAGUUCCCCUGUUUUAGUGUCAUUAUUGUGGAUGUUGUUGUAUAAUCUCUCUCUUUUGUUUGACCGUGUGAGUGUAUUGCAUCAUCCUGAUGCCCUGAGUUCACUACUGUUUUUUGCUUCACCCAUUUCUCUUUACCAUAUUUGUCUUUGUGGAUCCAAUCUUGUAUCCCUUCAUUUAUGCUUGUUUCUUCCAUCUUGUGUCUCUGGUUAAAUCAGCCACACAAAACAGCUCAAUGCAGUUUCCUUCACAGCUC
This is a long non-coding RNA of Raphanus sativus (radish), 840 nucleotides long. RefSeq lists it as uncharacterized. The transcript is spliced from 4 exons. The record is from RefSeq and is a predicted model, not a curated record. NCBI's taxonomy places the organism in Eukaryota, Viridiplantae, Streptophyta, Magnoliopsida, Brassicales, Brassicaceae.